RNAcentral lists this unclassified non-coding RNA (359 nucleotides) under Zea mays. RNAcentral describes it as "misc RNA Zm00001eb018770". Lineage: Eukaryota; Viridiplantae; Streptophyta; Magnoliopsida; Poales; Poaceae. The record is from RNAcentral.
CACGGAUCUUCUCCUGCGUUCGCCCCAAAACCACAAAUCGAAAAAUUUGUUGGGCAUUUCUGGGGGAGAUCUCAGAGAUCUUAUGCUAGUGUGGUGAAAACUAAGAGAGCUCCGAUCGUUGCUGUGAAGAUGCAACCAAGGGGAGCUGGUCGGCGUGGAGCUGCGCGCGGUUAUGGUCGUGGUUCUGGUCGCGAUCAUGUCUGGAGGCGUAUCGAAGAUGGUGAUGUUCAGAAUCAAAGAGGUGGUCGCAGUAUUGAGGAGGUCAAUAUGGGAGAGGGGGGUGACACCUUGAAUCAAGGUAACCCGUCUCCCUGGGAAAGUCAAGCUGUCAGAUCUGAAGGAAAAAAUGAAGAUAGUUG